UAGUAGCUUAGUCGGUAGCGCUUGAUACUUUUAAUUUCAUGGUUGUGGGUUUGAGCCCCACACUGGGCAAAA
This is a non-coding RNA of Podarcis lilfordi (Lilford's wall lizard), 72 nucleotides long. The record is from the annotation of a GenBank genome assembly. NCBI's taxonomy places the organism in Eukaryota, Metazoa, Chordata, Lepidosauria, Squamata, Lacertidae.